This 140-nucleotide ribosomal RNA is filed under the name uncultured eukaryote. RNAcentral's name for it is "partial 18S ribosomal RNA". It matches the Rfam family "Eukaryotic small subunit ribosomal RNA", at positions 1299 to 1458 of the family's 1831-position model. The record is from RNAcentral.
UGGUGGAGUGAUUUGUCUGGUUAAUUCCGUUAACGAACGAGACCUUAGCCUACUAACUAGUCGGGGUACUAAUCUUGCAUUGACCUCCGACUUCUUAGAGGGACUUUGUACCAAAUACAAGGAAGUUUGAGGCAAUAACA